RNAcentral lists this ribosomal RNA (253 nucleotides) under uncultured bacterium. Its description in RNAcentral is "partial 16S ribosomal RNA". It matches the Rfam family "Bacterial small subunit ribosomal RNA", at positions 524 to 776 of the family's 1533-position model. The record is from RNAcentral.
UACGGAGGGUGCAAGCGUUGUCCGGAUUCACUGGGUUUAAAGGGUGCGUAGGCGGGCAGGUAAGUCCGUGGUGAAAUCUCUGAGCUUAACUCAGAAACUGCCAUGGAUACUAUUUGUCUUGAAUAUUGUGGAGGUAAGCGGAAUAUGUCAUGUAGCGGUGAAAUGCUUAGAUAUGACAUAGAACACCAAUUGCGAAGGCAGCUUACUACACAGUUAUUGACGCUGAGGCACGAAAGCGUGGGGAUCAAACAGG